RNAcentral lists this ribosomal RNA (253 nucleotides) under uncultured bacterium. RNAcentral describes it as "partial 16S ribosomal RNA". It matches the Rfam family "Bacterial small subunit ribosomal RNA", at positions 524 to 776 of the family's 1533-position model. The record is from RNAcentral.
CACGUAGGGCGCAAGCGUUGUCCGGAAUUAUUGGGCGUAAAGAGCUCGUAGGCGGUCUGUUGCGUCCGCUGUGAAAACUCGGGGCUUAACCCCGAGCCUGCAGUGGAUACGGGCAGACUAGAGGUAGGUAGGGGAGAAUGGAAUUCCCGGUGUAGCGGUGAAAUGCGCAGAUAUCGGGAGGAACACCGGUGGCGAAUGGGAGUCUCUGGGGCUUGCCUGACGCUGAGGAGCGAGAGAGUGGGGAGCGAACAGG